AUUGAACGCUGGCGGAAUGCUUUACACAUGCAAGUCGAGCGGCAGCGCGGGGCAACCUGGCGGCGAGCGGCGAACGGGUGAGUAAUGCAUCGGAACAUGUCCAUGUCGUGGGGGAUAGCCCGGCGAAAGCCGGAUUAAUACCGCAUAAGCCCGAGAGGGGAAAGCAGGGGACCGCAAGGCCUUGCGCGAUUGGGUUGGCCGAUGUCCGAUUAGCUUGUUGGUGGGGUAAAGGCUUACCAAGGCGAUGAUCGGUAGCUGGUCUGAGAGGAUGAUCAGCCACACUGGGACUGAGACACGGCCCAGACUCCUACGGGAGGCAGCAGUGGGGAAUUUUGGACAAUGGGGGCAACCCUGAUCCAGCCAUUCCGCGUGAGUGAAGAAGGCCUUCGGGUUGUAAAGCCCUUUUGUCCGGAGCGAAACGAGUAGCCCUAAUACGGCUGCCUACUGACGGUACCGGAAGAAUAAGCACCGGCUAACUACGUGCCAGCAGCCGCGGUAAUACGUAGGGUGCGAGCGUUAAUCGGAAUUACUGGGCGUAAAGCGUGCGCAGGCGGUUAUGUAAGACAGAUGUGAAAUCCCCGGGCUUAACCUGGGAACUGCAUUUGUGACUGCA
Molecule: ribosomal RNA, 613 nt
Filed under: uncultured Pseudomonadota bacterium
Lineage: Bacteria; Pseudomonadati; Pseudomonadota
Description: bacterial SSU rRNA
Rfam family: Bacterial small subunit ribosomal RNA
Source: RNAcentral